CUCAAACCCAUAACUGAUAAUAGGCCAGAUUAGACUUUGGUUUUCUUUUUAGCUUUACCUUUGGAAGUCAUGAGUCAUGACCAAUAGUUUCUUUUUUGUCAAACCCUCGUUCCGCAGCAGCCCAUUGUCUCUCGCGUCGAUGUCAAAACCCUCGCACAGCGGUGUGACCUUCAUAGCAGCAGCAGCUCUGGCUCUUAAGAAGGAUUUGAAAAAAUAUAGAGAUCCAAAGCGCACAAAUGAAAUAGAAGAGCAUAUAUCAUGGGUUGACAAACAGUUAAGAUCUGGUUCAGCAAAAAAUAUUGAUGCAUAGAUAUUGGCUAGGCACAAGAAGCAAAAGAAAGAAGUAGCAAAGCAAGGAAAAUGUCAUUUUUAUCUCAAGAAAUAAACCGUUAAGUUUUUGGAUGGAAUUGGACGGAAGACCAAAG
Lotus japonicus is the source of this 425-nucleotide long non-coding RNA. RefSeq lists it as uncharacterized. The record is from RefSeq and is a predicted model, not a curated record. The transcript has 4 exons. NCBI's taxonomy places the organism in Eukaryota, Viridiplantae, Streptophyta, Magnoliopsida, Fabales, Fabaceae.